Molecule: ribosomal RNA, 432 nt
Filed under: uncultured bacterium
Lineage: Bacteria
Description: bacterial SSU rRNA
Rfam family: Bacterial small subunit ribosomal RNA
Source: RNAcentral
GAUGAACGCUAGCGGGAGGCCUAACACAUGCAAGUCGAGCGGUAAGGUUUUCGGACCCUAGAGCGGCGAACGGGUGAGUAACGCGUACGAAACCUACCUUUAAGAGAGGAAUAGCCCUGGGAAACUGGGAGUAAUGCCUCAUAGUACUCAUUUACCGCAUGGUUUAUGGAUUAAAGCUACGGCGCUUAAAGAUGGUCGUGCGUCUGAUUAGCUAGUUGGUAGGGUAACGGCCUACCAAGGCUACGAUCAGUAGGGGGCGUGAGAGCGUGGCCCCCCCACACGGGUACUGAGACACGGACCCGACUCCUACGGGAGGCAGCAGUAAGGAAUAUUGGGCAAUGGAGGAAACUCUGACCCAGCGACGCCGCGUGAGGGAUGAAGGCCUUCGGGUUGUAAACCUCUUUCAGUAGGGAAGAAGCGAAAGUGACGGUA